Molecule: long non-coding RNA, 1462 nt
Organism: Homo sapiens (human)
Lineage: Eukaryota; Metazoa; Chordata; Mammalia; Primates; Hominidae
Product: long intergenic non-protein coding RNA 1235
Source: Ensembl
ACAAAGUACACAAGGAGGAAGUAGAGGUGAUGCAAGCAGUGAAUGAGAAAUCAGGAAAAUUUCCAUUAAACUCUGCCUAAGUCCUUUAGGGCUCUGUCUCUGUUUUGUUCCUCUUAAGGUUGUCACUUCUAUGCCUAAUGAUUAUCUCAUUGGUUCCAGGACAUUGUUACCAUUUACCUCCACUGGAUAUCUAUUUUCUUUCAAAAAGCACAAUCAACGUGCCUUUUCCCUGAUUUUCUCUGCCAAACAUAUCAGAUUGUGGGAGGUUUAUGGAUACACAGUACUUCACAGGCAACCUGAAAGGUCCCAAUUUGGGCCCCGAGUCUGCUGGAGAAAAGAGAAAGGCUAAGAAGCAGCCUACCUUACCUGUGGCUCUGGGUCUGAGGAUGGCCAGGAGAACAGAGAGCAAAGCAGAGCCAAUGCAAGACCUCUGGCCCUGGAAGCCGAAGGGUAAGAACAGAGAGAAACCUUGGAGAACAUUCUUGCAUAGAAUUUAUCUAAUAGUGACAGAAAAAAAGGAGGCUAUAAAUAAAGCCCUCCUGAAAGAAGGUCUCUCACAGGUCAACGCAGGAUCUACUCCAUCAUCAUCUUCACUAGCACACCCAGUUCGAUUGAGGAGCCUUGACGUGGGAUAUUGAUGGGAUAUUGAGAGAAAAGAGAAAUGGUGAAUCAAGCACUAAUCUCAAAGCUUCUGCACAGAACUACUUACAUGUCACUUCCUCCCAUGACUAUUCCUAAAUUCAGCCAAAAGGGGACACAUAAUCUCUUACGGGGGAGGGCACCACGGGGAGAGAAACCCGAAUAUUUGGUGAAUAGUAACACAAUCUACUUUGUUAUAGAAUCUGUCCUCAAUGGUCUUACAGUCUAAGAGCAUUACAUUUAGUUACGGUAGUCUUAAAUAUGAUACUAAAUGAAUUGAAUAGCCAGACAUCUGUGAAAGUAAAACUGUGAUAAUACAAAGUCAGUGUGCUUUUAAGUUUCAAUUGCUUAAAGUUAUUUGGAAGUAAGGAUCACAUGAGUUCAGAGCCCCAGGAUUCAAAAAUAACUCCGGAAUCUUUUAUCACUCCCCAAAGGAAAAGCAAUAAUAAGUAAGUUACCAGACAUUCAUGUAAUCUCUCUGAAACUGUAAGACUAACAAAGGAAAAUUUUCAAAAGGCAGAAAUACUUUAUUAUUUAUUUGCAAUAGAAAUUAUUCAGCCGGGCGCGGUGGCUCAUGCCUGUAAUCCCAGCACUUUGGGAGGCCGAGGCGAGUGGAUCACCUGAGGUCGGGAGUUCGAGACCAGCCUGACCAACAUGGAGAAACCCCGUCUCUACUAAAAAUACACAAUUAGCUGGGCAUGGUGGCACAUGCCUGCAAGCCCAGCUACUCAGGAGGCUAAGGCAGGAGCGACAGAGCGAGACUCCAUCUCAAAAAAAAAAGAAAGAAAGAAAGGAAAAAAAGAAAAGAAAAGAAACAAAGAAA